UACGUAGGGGGCAAGCGUUGUCCGGAUUUAUUGGGCGUAAAGCGCGUGUAGGCGGCCAGAUAGGUCUGCUGUGAAAACUCGAGGCUCAACCUCGAGCUGUCGGCGGAAACCAUCUGGCUAGAGUCCGGAAGAGGAGAGUGGAAUUCCUGGUGUAGCGGUGAAAUGCGCAGAUAUCAUUUGGAACGCCAAUGGUGAAAACAGGUAGCUGGGGCUGUGCUGACACUGAGACACGAAAGCCAGGGGAGCAAACGGG
RNAcentral lists this ribosomal RNA (253 nucleotides) under uncultured bacterium. Its description in RNAcentral is "partial 16S ribosomal RNA". It matches the Rfam family "Bacterial small subunit ribosomal RNA", at positions 524 to 776 of the family's 1533-position model. The record is from RNAcentral.